GAGUUUGAUCAUGGCUCAGGACGAACGCUGGCGGCGUGCCUAAUACAUGCAAGUCGAGCGAGCGGAACUAACAGAUUUACUUCGGUAAUGACGUUAGGAAAGCGAGCGGCGGAUGGGUGAGUAACACGUGGGGAACCUGCCCCAUAGUCUGGGAUACCACUUGGAAACAGGUGCUAAUACCGGAUAAGAAAGCAGAUCGCAUGAUCAGCUUUUAAAAGGCGGCGUAAGCUGUCGCUAUGGGAUGGCCCCGCGGUGCAUUAGCUAGUUGGUAAGGUAAAGGCUUACCAAGGCGAUGAUGCAUAGCCGAGUUGAGAGACUGAUCGGCCACAUUGGGACUGAGACACGGCCCAAACUCCUACGGGAGGCAGCAGUAGGGAAUCUUCCACAAUGGACGCAAGUCUGAUGGAGCAACGCCGCGUGAGUGAAGAAGGUUUUCGGAUCGUAAAGCUCUGUUGUUGGUGAAGAAGGAUAGAGGUAGUAACUGGCCUUUAUUUGACGGUAAUCAACCAGAAAGUCACGGCUAACUACGUGCCAGCAGCCGCGGUAAUACGUAGGUGGCAAGCGUUGUCCGGAUUUAUUGGGCGUAAAGCGAACGCAGGCGGAAGAAUAAGUCUGAUGUGAAAGCCCUCGGCUUAACCGAGGAACUGCAUCGGAAACUGUUUUUCUUGAGUGCAGAAGAGGAGAGUGGAACUCCAUGUGUAGCGGUGGAAUGCGUAGAUAUAUGGAAGAACACCAGUGGCGAAGGCGGCUCUCUGGUCUGCAACUGACGCUGAGGCUCGAAAGCAUGGGUAGCGAACAGGAUUAGAUACCCUGGUAGUCC
RNAcentral lists this ribosomal RNA (820 nucleotides) under uncultured bacterium. RNAcentral describes it as "bacterial SSU rRNA". It matches the Rfam family "Bacterial small subunit ribosomal RNA", at positions 9 to 796 of the family's 1533-position model. The record is from RNAcentral.